UUAGAGUUUGAUCCUGGCUCAGGAUGAACGCUAGCGGCAGGCCUAAUACAUGCAAGUCGGACGGUAGCCGACCCUUCGGGGCCGGCGAGAGUGGCGGACGGGUGCGUAACGCGUAUGCAACCAACCCCCCACAGCGGGACAGCCGGUGGAAACGCCGGGCAAUCCCGCAUGCCGCCGUGUCGGGGCAUCCCGGCAUGGCGAAAGGCUACGGCCGGUGGGGGACGGGCAUGCGUGCCAUUAGCUGGUUGGCGGGGCGACGGCCCACCAAGGCGACGAUGGCUAGGGGAUCUGAGAGGACGGUCCCCCACACUGGUACUGAGACACGGACCAGACUCCUGCGGGAGGCAGCAGUAAGGGAUAUUGGGCAAUGGGGGGAACCCUGACCCAGCCAUGCCGCGUGAGGGAAUGGGGCCCUACGGGUCGUGAACCUCUUUUGCCGGGGGACAACGGCGGCGUCGAGAACGCCGCGUGCGGGUACCCGGCGAAUAAGCGUCGGCUAACUCCGUGCCAGCAGCCGCGGUAAUACGGAGGACGCGAGCGUUAUCCGGAUUCAUUGGGUUUAAAGGGUGCGCAGGCGGCCUGCCAAGUCAGCGGUGAAAGCCCGGGGCCCAACCCCGGAAGUGCCGUUGAUACUGUCGGGCUGGAAUGCGGUCGAGGCGGGCGGAACGUGGCGUGUAGCGGUGAAAUGCGUAGAUAUGCCACAGAACGCCGAUAGCGGAGGCAGCUCGCCAGGCCUGCAUUGACGCUCGGGCACGAAAGCGUGGGGAUCGAACAGGAUUAGAUACCCUGGUAGUCCACGCCGUAAACGAUGGGCGCUCGUCGUCGGCGGCAAACGGUCGGCGGCCAAGCGAAAGCGAUAAGCGCCCCACCUGGGGAGUACGGUCGCAAGGCUGAAACUCAAAGGAAUUGACGGGGGCCCGCACAAGCGGUGGAGCAUGUGGUUUAAUUCGACGCAACGCGAAGAACCUUACCAGAGCUUGACAUCCACGGGAGACCGAGUAAUGUUGGUCGUGCCCUUCGGGGAGCCGUGAGACAGGUGGUGCAUGGUUGUCGCCAGCUCGUGUCGUGAGAUGUUGGGUUAAGUCCCGCAACGAGCGCAACCCUUAUGUUUAGUUGCUACGGAAAGAGAACUCUAAACAGACUGCCGUUGACAAAACGGAGGAAGGUGGGGACGACGUCAAAUCAUCAUGCCCCUUACGCCCUGGGCUACACACGUACUACAAUGGCGCAAACAAAGGGAAGCGAGCCUGCGAGGGGGAGCAAAUCCCAAAAAUAACGUCCCAGUUCGGACUGUAGUCUGCAACCCGACUACACGAAGCUGGAAUCGCUAGUAAUCGCGAAUCAGAAUGUCGCGGUGAAUACGUUCCCGGGUCUUGUACACACCGCCCGUCAAG
RNAcentral lists this ribosomal RNA (1394 nucleotides) under uncultured bacterium. RNAcentral's name for it is "bacterial SSU rRNA". It matches the Rfam family "Bacterial small subunit ribosomal RNA". The record is from RNAcentral.